Molecule: ribosomal RNA, 389 nt
Filed under: uncultured bacterium
Lineage: Bacteria
Description: bacterial SSU rRNA
Rfam family: Bacterial small subunit ribosomal RNA
Source: RNAcentral
GACGAACGCUGGCGGCGUGCUUAACACAUGCAAGUCGAGCGGUAAGGCCCUUUCGGGGGGUACACGAGCGGCGAACGGGUGAGUAACACGUGGGUGACCUGCCCUUAGCUCUGGGAUAAGCCUGGGAAACUGGGUCUAAUACCGGAUAUGACUCCAUGACGCAUGUUGUGGGGUGGAAAGCCUUGUGCGGCUAGGGGAUGGGCCCGCGGCCUAUCAGCUUGUUGGUGGGGUGAUGGCCUACCAAGGCGACGACGGGUAGCCGGCCUGAGAGGGCGACCGGCCACACUGGGACUGAGACACGGCCCAGACUCCUACGGGAGGCAGCAGUGGGGAAUCUUGCGCAAUGGGCGAAAGCCUGACGCAGCGACGCCGCGUGAGGGAUGACGCCU